UCCUUGGUGGUCUAGUGGUGGGACUCUGUGCUCCUAAUGCAGGGAGCCUGGGUUCAAUCCCUGGUCAGGGAA
Molecule: non-coding RNA, 72 nt
Organism: Bos taurus (domestic cattle)
Lineage: Eukaryota; Metazoa; Chordata; Mammalia; Artiodactyla; Bovidae
Source: Rfam